This 2363-nucleotide long non-coding RNA is filed under the name Homo sapiens (human). RNAcentral describes it as "non-protein coding lnc-ZC3H12D-20:1". The record is from RNAcentral. Lineage: Eukaryota; Metazoa; Chordata; Mammalia; Primates; Hominidae.
GACAGUAACAUACCACUGCACAAAGCAGGCUCACUGAGGGAACUGGAAAACUGUUCAGUUCUGUGGCUUUUACGGGCCAUGUAGACAGAGGAAGGGGGCUAAGAUGUGUAAGGGAAUCAAAACCAUUUCAUUUCUCUUUGUGCUUACUGGCCAGCCGUGUCUCCUCUUCUGUGACUGCUCCUGUACUCUGCCCAUUUAUCUCGUGAGUUGGUUUAUCUUUUUCUCAUUGAUAAACUGAACUUUUAAAGACCUGCAUAUUAGUUCUAUUUCCUGGGGAGAUGUUUGUGGUUUUUUUUUGUUUUGUUUUGUUUUGUUUUGUUUUGUUUUGCUAUGGUUAUGGGGUGUUACUGUUGAGCUUUCACUUUAAUAUAGUUUUUUUUUUCUUUGUGGUUUUUACUUUCUGUGUCUUCAAAUGACUUCUGAUGAGAAAGUACUGGUAAACAGACCUAUUUGUCUGGACAAGAUUUAUGUGUGUAGCAGAGCAGGGUAGACAUAAUAGUCAUUUUAGUAUCUUCAAUUAUUUGAAGACUAUAAAGUCCAAUAGACAAGCCUAUAUAGCUUCCAGAAGAACAGCAAAAAAUGGAUGGAGGCUAGAAAGGAGUAGCUCACCACACUGUGAAGAACCCUCUUACCCACUGGAGCUGCCCACAGUGAAAUGGGAUGGUCAGUAGCAGGCAACCGGGAGGAGGCUGUGCAAAUCCUCAUCAACAACACAGCUUUCACCUAUCACAUAGUGAGACUCUAAACUCUGGAAACCCAUGUCUUACUCUGCUUCUUCUCUCUUAGGACUUCCUGGGGACAUUCUGCUUCCCCUAAUUUCUAGAGCAAGUUCUGGCGGAGGUGGAGGAAACGCACUGCUGAUUUUAAUUUUAGAAAAAAUUUAACUAUGAUUAAGACUCAGAAAAUGACAACGAUGGCCUAAAAUGUUUUUGUGUAUUCUACUUGCCUUGGUCACUUGACUUCUGCAAUUUUUAAAAUAAGUGUUUGGGUCCAAAGAAAAUAGCCUUAUAUUUGUUUCAGUUGCUACAAUUAUAUGACCUCUUGUCUCUUUCAGCACAUGAUUUGAAGAACAGCAGAGAUCUUAGAACGAUCUACUUCAGUGAUUCUCAAGAGAAAAGAAACACUCUCCCCUGGGAGUGCACAGAAAAAUUACCUCAGGGACUUUUUUUUUUUUUUUUUUUUUUUUGAGACAGAGUCUCGCUCUGUCGCCCAGGCUGGAGUACAGUGGUGCGAUCUUGUCUCACUGCAAGCUCCACCUCCCGGGUUCACACCAUUCUCCUGCCUCAGCCUCCCGAGUAGCUGGGGCUACAAGCGCCCACCACCAUGCCCGGCUAAUUUUUUGUAUUUUUAGUACAGACGGGGUUUCACCGUGUUAGCCAGGACGGUCUCGAUCUCCUCACCUUGUGAUCCGUCCGCCUCGGCCUCCCAGGGAGCUGGGAUUACAGGCGUGAACCACCGCGUACGCCGCAUUCUUUUAUUUUUUUAUUUUUAUUUAUUUAUUUAUUUUGGGAUGGAGUCUCGCUCUGUCGCCCGGGCUGGAGUGCAGUGGUGCGAUCUCGGCUCACUGCAAGCUCCGCCUCCUGGGUUCAUGACAUUCUCCUGCCUCAGCCUCCCUAGUAGCUGGGACUACAGGCGCCCGCGACCACGCCCGGCUAAUUUUUUUGUAUUUUUUAGUAGAGACGGGGUUUCACCAUGUUAGCCAGGAUGGUCUCGAUCUCCUGACCUCGUGAUCCACCCACCUCGGCCUCCCAAAGUGCUGGGAUUACAGGCGUGAGCUCAGGGACUUUUUUAAAAGGACUUCCAAUGCCAUGCCCUUUCUCCCUCUCCUGGCCACUGAGAUGUAUUCCCAUAGGGACAGUCAAGACCCUAUGGAAACACUGCUAUGGAUGAGGGUCCUAAGGAACGGAAACAGCUGAGAAUCAUGGAUCUAAUGAAACUCCUUCAUUGUAGAGAUGAAGACACUGAAGCCUUGGAGGCUCACAUGACUUAACACCGACAACUGACUUAUUGUCGGGUCACCCUGCACACCCAGGCCUAGUGCCCCCUCCAUCCAGCCGCAUGGCUCUGCCUGACGGUUCUGUUUAUCCAAUGGGAAGGCAUUCAUGUCAAACAGCCUUUGUGUUAAAGCAGGAAGCUCUGUGCUGGAUGACAAGGUCAGGGUUUUUAAGGUCCCCAAACAAAAUACAACUUUCUACGAAAUAAUGUAAAAUCAGCAUUUGCCUUCAACUGCUCAAGGAACUGGGUGAUUGGCCAUGCCAGAUGGUAUGGCUCUCACUUGCCGCAACACCUACUGGAGGCUAACAGAGCAAGGCAACACAGAGAGGCUGAGCUUGGGAAACAAGCAAGUGAAGACACAAGAUCUG